This 404-nucleotide ribosomal RNA is filed under the name uncultured Anaerolinea sp. RNAcentral describes it as "bacterial SSU rRNA". It matches the Rfam family "Bacterial small subunit ribosomal RNA", at positions 355 to 776 of the family's 1533-position model. Lineage: Bacteria; Bacillati; Chloroflexota; Anaerolineae; Anaerolineales; Anaerolineaceae. The record is from RNAcentral.
UAGGGAAUAUUGGUAAUGGGCGAAAGCCUGAACCAGCAACGCCGCGUGUGCGAUGAAGGCCUUCGGGUUGUAAAGCACUUUUCGCCGGGACGAGGAAGGACGGUACCGGUGGAAUCAGCCUCGGCUAACUACGUGCCAGCAGCCGCGGUAAAACGUAGGAGGCGAGCGUUAUCCGGAUUUACUGGGUGUAAAGCGCAUGCAGGCGGCUCGCUAAGUUGGUUGUGAAAGCUCCCGGCUUAACUGGGAGAGGUCGGUCAAGACUGGCGAGCUCGAGGAUGGGAAGGGAAAGCGGAAUUCCGGGUGUAGUGGUGAAAUGCGUAGAUAUCCGGAGGAACACCAGUGGCGAAGGCGGCUUUCUGGCCCAUGACUGACGCUCAGAUGCGAAAGCUAGGGUAGCAAACGGG